Lingula anatina is the source of this 801-nucleotide unclassified non-coding RNA. Lineage: Eukaryota; Metazoa; Brachiopoda; Lingulata; Lingulida; Lingulidae. The record is from RefSeq and is a predicted model, not a curated record.
AGUGGAGUAUCAGAAUUAAAUUAAACUGUUUAAGAGCAUGUUAAUUAGUUUUGAACAACAAUCUGCCAGUCCCAGCCCAGGACGGAGAAGUGAGGUAUAACUGGGAUUCAGACGAGAGAGGAUGCUGUGAUUUUUCCUGCCCUACGUCAUUGAAGGCUUGCAGACCCUGCAGGUGCAUGGAGAUCCAUAGGCGGUGAUCAACAUAUGAACAAAAGCCAGGGUGAACUUUUAAACUAGUUGACCAUGGACUGGAAAUAAUGUGCAAGUUACAAAAUACACAAAUAUGUUUACCAUUGCUUUGGUGAAAACUGCUGAAAGGAGCUCAGUUUUCAUAAAUGCGAAGUAGGUAAAAGGAGACUGUGAAUAGUUUACAACACUUUGUUUUGUGCAAGUGCCGUCAUUUCUAUUGCAGCCAUUCAUUACGAACCUGUUUCACAAAUCAUAGUGCUCUCCUUUUCUUCUCCGGGCCAUAAGCCUUGCUGUUAAAUAUGCUACAUACUAAGAACUAUUUACACAAGCUAGGGAUCUUAAACAGCAAACCAAAGCAAAGCGAGGUACCUUUAUCGGGGAAGUUUAGCAAGCAGGGGCACUGAUCUGACAGCGAGCAGAGAGAUAGUUAUCAGGUUAACAGCGACAGUUAAACGGGGUAACUCCAACCCAACCAAACCAGCCACCCUUGAAGUUAACCGGACCACCACCACCACCACCACUGCUACACUUGAUGGUGCCGGGCGACUUCAAUUUGGGGUGAAGACAAAGACAUUGAGAAGAAUCGACUUUAUGUAGCUGGUAGAUUAGAUU